This 92-nucleotide small nucleolar RNA is filed under the name Felis catus (domestic cat). RNAcentral's name for it is "Small nucleolar SNORD12/SNORD106 (ENSFCAG00000040561.1)". It matches the Rfam family "Small nucleolar SNORD12/SNORD106". From Rfam's summary of the family: This family belong to the C/D class of snoRNA which contain the C (UGAUGA) and D (CUGA) box motifs. This family includes the human ortholog of mouse snoRNA HBII-99 and human snoRNA U106. Lineage: Eukaryota; Metazoa; Chordata; Mammalia; Carnivora; Felidae. The record is from RNAcentral.
UCUGGUUGUCAAUGAUGACUGAACUUUUUUCCCCAGCAGAUCGACAAGUUGAAUGUAGGUUACUUUAGCCAAACUUUGUCUGAUUCACCAGA